CAACUUUCAACAACGGAUCUCUUGGCUCUCGCAUCAAUGAAAAACGCAGCGAAAUGCGAUACGUAAUGUGAAUUGCAAAAUUCAGUGAAUCAUCGAAUCUUUGAACGCACCUUGCGCCCCUUGGUAUUCCGAGGGGCACACCCGUUUGAGUGUCGU
Molecule: ribosomal RNA, 156 nt
Filed under: Lactarius pubescens
Lineage: Eukaryota; Fungi; Basidiomycota; Agaricomycetes; Russulales; Russulaceae
Description: 5.8S ribosomal RNA
Rfam family: 5.8S ribosomal RNA
About the family: 5.8S ribosomal RNA (5.8S rRNA) is a component of the large subunit of the eukaryotic ribosome. It is transcribed by RNA polymerase I as part of the 45S precursor that also contains 18S and 28S rRNA.
Source: RNAcentral